GGAAAAUAGUUAUCAGCUUUUGUUUUUGAGUGCACGUGCAAUUAUACAGGCCUACCUAACAAGAAGCUUUUUAAAUAAUCUAAAACAGGUUGAUAUUCUGUACUUGCAUCACUGCAGUGGGCCUGUAACGUUACCCCUGAUUCAAAUCCACCUCUCCGUUAAUUCCCCUGAUCUAAUGUUCAAGGGUGCGGCUUCCUUAAUCCACCAAAGAAAUUAAGAACUUAUUCUCAAUUGGGCCAAUUUAGGAGGAGAGUGCCUUCUUUGUGAGGGUCAGAUCAAACUAGAAGCUGUCAUGAAGGUAUAAGGGCAAGCAUCCAACAUAAUUAGCUUAUGGGUGAUUCAGGUUUCCUUAGGUACGUUUCGUCCUCUGAAAUUUUACUUUUGUUAUGUGAAUUUUUUAAUAGUAGUUAUUUGGAUUAUGAAUUCUGGUUUAUGAGUCAUUUGAUAUUGUUUUCUUUUUGUUCCCUUUUGGGCCAUUUUAUGAAUAACAUGUUCGAUUUCUUAUUAGGGCAUUAAUGCACGUAGAUUUAUGUGUUUAUUUGGUUUUGGGAAACUUUGGUAUGCAUUCUAUAGUGUUGAAGUGUGUUUAUAUUGUCCUCUUUUAAUGUGAAUUUCAAAUAAUCCGAGAUUGAAAAUGUGUGCCUGGUCUCUGAUGUGCUUUUGAGUUGGGUACUUAUAGGUUUGCUUUUGUUCCUGAUUGGUAAAUAAGUCACAGGGAGCACAUUUAUACUGAGGAUAAAUGAAAAGGGGGAAAACAAUUAUGCCUUUCAUGAGGAGUGAUUUACAUUUACUAUAUAUUAAUAAUAUUAUACAUGCUAUAGGUUGGUGGUUGUGUUAUUGUUCACAAGGUUUUUUUUGGCGUAUGUACCGUUUUGCCAUUCGGCCUGAUUUGGGUAUUAGUUUGACGCGUGUUAUUUUUUUUGUUACAUGUAUUGCUUUCUGUUGCCCACGUCUAUUCCUUUCUCUCACUUUCUUAUGAAAUCCUGUCACUGGUUGGAGUUUUAUGAUUGCCAAUUCUGUUUAAUCGAUAUCUGAGGGGUUCAUCAAGCUGGCGAGAUUGUUGUGAAAAGAUAGCUGGGAUAUCAUAACCAACAUGUCCAGAGUACAAAUAUGCCUGAGCUUAAUUAGAAGGAAAAUGUCCGGAAGACGAUUUGAGUGUCUUUGUGGAGUGGAGGUGUUAAAUAGUAUAUGGAUUAGAGCUGUGACAAACGAAGAUGAAUAUGGGGCAAGUUUACUGAUUCUUAAUUAUUGUUUUGAUCCUUCCAUCUUGGGUUAUACGAUUCAAUCUUGGAAUACACUGAAGUGGGUUUGUAAAUGGCCGCUGAAUGCGCAUUAUUCGGAAAAGAAACGAUUUCCUCCACCAAUUUUUAUCUACUCAUCUGAUGAGGGAUUUUAUGACUAUAUGAGAGGAGUCAGUUGUUAAAGUUGAAGUCUUGCCAUCGUGAUCAGUCUUCCUUCUAAAGGUUCCUCUGGAACUUUGGGUGACAAGGAGAUAUUGGAGAACGGGGUUGCUGAAAGAGAUAAUUAACAUGCUCAGUCUCAAUCGACAAGGUACCUUAUCAAGAGACUAAGAAGGAUGGAAGCUGCAGGGAAUCCUGGACACAAGAAGAAAGGUGGUAAAGAUCUCUCCAGUUCAGAUCGCAGAGAGUCUGUUGGAGUCAUGGGUCUUCAGCGCUGAUCAAGCUAUAAUGUUACAGCACAUUGGGAGAUUAUGGAGAACUAUACUAGUGGCAAUUUUGGCAAGGUCUACCUAUAUGCUGAUAGUUUCAUGGAUUUUGUGGGUAAGGGUGAUGUUCGCAUCAAACUGUCCAGUAAUGUCACAUGGAUUCUAUGUGACGUGAAACACAUUCGGGGAUAUGCAUGGAAUCAACUUUUUGUGGGUUUGGUGUCUCAAGAAGGCUAUGAGAUGGCACUCUGUCGUGGCACUUGGAAGAUUUCGAAAGGCGACUUUGCUACAUGGUCAUAAAUUCAGUUUCUCUACAAGAGUUUUAGGAACACAACAGGUUUAUGCACAUACCUAGGGAAAUGGAAUGCACGUAUUGUAAUUUUUGAUGCUGAUGGAACUAUUACCAAGUCUGUUUAUGCCA
This is a long non-coding RNA of Argentina anserina (silverweed cinquefoil), 2087 nucleotides long. RefSeq lists it as uncharacterized. The transcript has 12 exons. NCBI's taxonomy places the organism in Eukaryota, Viridiplantae, Streptophyta, Magnoliopsida, Rosales, Rosaceae. The record is from RefSeq and is a predicted model, not a curated record.